ACGGAAGGCAGCAGUGAGGAAUAUUGGUCAAUGGUCGGAAGACUGAACCAGCCAAGUCGCGUGCAGGAAGACGGUCCUAUGGAUUGUAAACUGCUUUUGUACGGGAAUAAAGUGCGGGACGUGUCCCGUUUGGAAUGUACCGUAAGAAUAAGGGUCGGCUAACUCCGUGCCAGCAGCCGCGGUAAUACGGAGGACCCGAGCGUUAUCCGGAUUUAUUGGGUUUAAAGGGAGCGUAGGCCGUGCUUUAAGCGUGUUGUGAAAUGUAGGCGCCCAACGUCUGCACUGCAGCGCGAACUGGAGCACUUGAGUACGCAGGAAGUAGGCGGAAUUCGUCGUGUAGCGGUGAAAUGCUUAGAUAUGACGAAGAACUCCGAUUGGGAAGCCAGCUUACUGUAGCGCCACUGACGCUGAUGCUCGAAAGCGUGGGUAUCGAACAGGAUUAGAUACCCUGGUA
RNAcentral lists this ribosomal RNA (454 nucleotides) under uncultured Prevotella sp. Its description in RNAcentral is "partial 16S ribosomal RNA". It matches the Rfam family "Bacterial small subunit ribosomal RNA", at positions 341 to 792 of the family's 1533-position model. Lineage: Bacteria; Pseudomonadati; Bacteroidota; Bacteroidia; Bacteroidales; Prevotellaceae. The record is from RNAcentral.